RNAcentral lists this ribosomal RNA (734 nucleotides) under bacterium enrichment culture clone ADE_40. Its description in RNAcentral is "bacterial SSU rRNA". It matches the Rfam family "Bacterial small subunit ribosomal RNA", at positions 1 to 736 of the family's 1533-position model. The record is from RNAcentral.
UAGAGUUUGAUCCUGGCUCAGAUUGAACGCUGGCGGCAUGCUUUACACAUGCAAGUCGAACGGCAGCGCGGGCUUCGGCCUGGCGGCGAGUGGCGAACGGGUGAGUAAUAUAUCGGAACGUACCCAAGAGUGGGGGAUAACGUAGCGAAAGUUACGCUAAUACCGCAUACGAUCUAAGGAUGAAAGCAGGGGACCGCAAGGCCUUGUGCUCCUGGAGCGGCCGAUAUCUGAUUAGCUAGUUGGUGAGGUAAAGGCUCACCAAGGCAACGAUCAGUAGCUGGUCUGAGAGGACGACCAGCCACACUGGAACUGAGACACGGUCCAGACUCCUACGGGAGGCAGCAGUGGGGAAUUUUGGACAAUGGGGGCAACCCUGAUCCAGCAAUGCCGCGUGAGUGAAGAAGGCCUUCGGGUUGUAAAGCUCUUUUGUCAGGGAAGAAAAGGGAGUGGCUAAUAUCCAUUCCUGCUGACGGUACCUGAAGAAUAAGCACCGGCUAACUACGUGCCAGCAGCCGCGGUAAUACGUAGGGUGCAAGCGUUAAUCGGAAUUACUGGGCGUAAAGCGUGCGCAGGCGGUUUCGUAAGUCUGUCGUGAAAUCCCCGGGCUUAACCUGGGAAUGGCGAUGGAGACUGCGAGGCUAGAGUUUGGCAGAGGGGGGUAGAAUUCCACGUGUAGCAGUGAAAUGCGUAGAGAUGUGGAGGAACACCGAUGGCGAAGGCAGCCCCCUGGGUCA